AGUGAACGCUGGCGGUAGGCCUAACACAUGCAAGUCGAACGGCAGCACAGUAAGAGUGUGCUCUUACGGGUGGCGAGUGGCGGACGGGUGAGGAAUACAUCGGAAUCUACUUUUUCGGGGGGGAUAACGUAGGGAAACUUACGCUAAUACCGCAUACGACGUACCGGGGAAAGCAGUGGAUCUUCGGGCCUUGCGCGAUUGAAUGAGCCGAUGUCGGGUUAGCUAGUGGGGUGGGUAAAGGCCCACCAAGGCGAGGAUCCGCAGCUGGUCUGAGAGGAUGGUAGCCCACCCUGGAACGUGGACACGGUCAAGACUACUACGGGAGGCAGCAGUGGGGAACAUUGGGCAAUGGGGGGAAGCCUUACCCAGCCAUACCGCGUGGGUGACGAAGGCCUUCCGGUUGUAAAGCCCUUUUGUUGGGAAAGAACAGCUGUCGGUUAAUACCCCGCUGUUGUGACGGUACCCAAUGAAUAAGCACCGGCUAACUUCGUG
This 492-nucleotide ribosomal RNA is filed under the name uncultured bacterium. Its description in RNAcentral is "partial 16S ribosomal RNA". It matches the Rfam family "Bacterial small subunit ribosomal RNA", at positions 29 to 507 of the family's 1533-position model. The record is from RNAcentral.